ACGGGUGAGUAACGCGUGGGAACCUACCCAGAACUUCGGAAUAACACAUGGAAACGUGUGCUAAUACCGGAUACGCCCUACGGGGGAAAGAUUUAUCGGUUUUGGAUGGGCCCGCGUAAGAUUAGCUAGUUGGUGAGGUGAUGGCUCACCAAGGCGGCGAUCUUUAGCUGGUCUGAGAGGAUGAUCAGCCACACUGGGACUGAGACACGGCCCAGACUCCUACGGGAGGCAGCAGUGGGGAAUAUUGGACAAUGGGCGCAAGCCUGAUCCAGCCAUGCCGCGUGAGUGAUGAAGGCCUUAGGGUUGUAAAGCUCUUUCAGUAGGGAAGAUAAUGACGGUACCUACAGAAGAAGCCCCGGCUAACUUCGUGCCAGCAGCCGCGGUAAUACGAAGGGGGCUAGCGUUGUUCGGAUUUACUGGGCGUAAAGCGCACGUAGGCGGAUCGUUAAGUUAGGGGUGAAAUCCUGGAGCUCAACUCCAGAACUGCCUCUAAUACUGGCGAUCUAGAGUCCGGAAGAGGUGAGUGGAACUCCUAGUGUAGAGGUGGAAUUCGUAGA
RNAcentral lists this ribosomal RNA (557 nucleotides) under uncultured bacterium. Its description in RNAcentral is "bacterial SSU rRNA". It matches the Rfam family "Bacterial small subunit ribosomal RNA", at positions 102 to 694 of the family's 1533-position model. The record is from RNAcentral.